Molecule: ribosomal RNA, 1316 nt
Filed under: Escherichia coli
Lineage: Bacteria; Pseudomonadati; Pseudomonadota; Gammaproteobacteria; Enterobacterales; Enterobacteriaceae
Description: partial 23S ribosomal RNA
Rfam family: Bacterial large subunit ribosomal RNA
Source: RNAcentral
GUACACAAAAAUGCACAUGCUGUGAGCUCGAUGAGUAGGGCGGGACACGUGGUAUCCUGUCUGAAUAUGGGGGGACCAUCCUCCAAGGCUAAAUACUCCUGACUGACCGAUAGUGAACCAGUACCGUGAGGGAAAGGCGAAAAGAACCCCGGCGAGGGGAGUGAAAAAGAACCUGAAACCGUGUACGUACAAGCAGUGGGAGCACGCUUAGGCGUGUGACUGCGUACCUUUUGUAUAAUGGGUCAGCGACUUAUAUUCUGUAGCAAGGUUAACCGAAUAGGGGAGCCGAAGGGAAACCGAGUCUUAACUGGGCGUUAAGUUGCAGGGUAUAGACCCGAAACCCGGUGAUCUAGCCAUGGGCAGGUUGAAGGUUGGGUAACACUAACUGGAGGACCGAACCGACUAAUGUUGAAAAAUUAGCGGAUGACUUGUGGCUGGGGGUGAAAGGCCAAUCAAACCGGGAGAUAGCUGGUUCUCCCCGAAAGCUAUUUAGGUAGCGCCUCGUGAAUUCAUCUCCGGGGGUAGAGCACUGUUUCGGCAAGGGGGUCAUCCCGACUUACCAACCCGAUGCAAACUGCGAAUACCGGAGAAUGUUAUCACGGGAGACACACGGCGGGUGCUAACGUCCGUCGUGAAGAGGGAAACAACCCAGACCGCCAGCUAAGGUCCCAAAGUCAUGGUUAAGUGGGAAACGAUGUGGGAAGGCCCAGACAGCCAGGAUGUUGGCUUAGAAGCAGCCAUCAUUUAAAGAAAGCGUAAUAGCUCACUGGUCGAGUCGGCCUGCGCGGAAGAUGUAACGGGGCUAAACCAUGCACCGAAGCUGCGGCAGCGACACUGUGUGUUGUUGGGUAGGGGAGCGUUCUGUAAGCCUGCGAAGGUGUGCUGUGAGGCAUGCUGGAGGUAUCAGAAGUGCGAAUGCUGACAUAAGUAACGAUAAAGCGGGUGAAAAGCCCGCUCGCCGGAAGACCAAGGGUUCCUGUCCAACGUUAAUCGGGGCAGGGUGAGUCGACCCCUAAGGCGAGGCCGAAAGGCGUAGUCGAUGGGAAACAGGUUAAUAUUCCUGUACUUGGUGUUACUGCGAAGGGGGGACGGAGAAGGCUAUGUUGGCCGGGCGACGGUUGUCCCGGUUUAAGCGUGUAGGCUGGUUUUCCAGGCAAAUCCGGAAAAUCAAGGCUGAGGCGUGAUGACGAGGCACUACGGUGCUGAAGCAACAAAUGCCCUGCUUCCAGGAAAAGCCUCUAAGCAUCAGGUAACAUCAAAUCGUACCCCAAACCGACACAGGUGGUCAGGUAGAGAAUACCAAGGCGCUUGAGAGA